This 497-nucleotide ribosomal RNA is filed under the name uncultured bacterium. Its description in RNAcentral is "partial 16S ribosomal RNA". It matches the Rfam family "Bacterial small subunit ribosomal RNA", at positions 29 to 507 of the family's 1533-position model. The record is from RNAcentral.
ACGAACGCUGGCGGCGUGCCUAAUCCCUGCAAGUCGAGCGGACGGAUGGGAGCUUGCUCCCAGACCGUCAGCGGCGGACGGGUGAGUAACACGUGGGCAACCUGCCUGUAAGACUGGGAUAACUCCGGGAAACCGGGGCUAAUACCGGAUAACUCUUUCCCUCACAUGAGGGACAGCUGAAAGAUGGCCUCUCGCUAUCACUUACAGAUGGGCCCGCGGCGCAUUAGCUAGUUGGUGAGGUAACGGCUCACCAAGGCGACGAUGCGUAGCCGACCUGAGAGGGUGAUCGGCCACACUGGGACUGAGACACGGCCCAGACUCCUACGGGAGGCAGCAGUAGGGAAUCUUCCGCAAUGGACGAAAGUCUGACGGAGCAACGCCGCGUGAGUGAUGAAGGUUUUCGGAUCGUAAAACUCUGUUGUCAGGGAAGAACAAGUACCGGAGUAACUGCCGGUACCUUGACGGUACCUGACCAGAAAGCCACGGCUAACUACGUG